GCUUACGGCCAUACCAGCCUGGGUACGCCCGAUCUCGUCUGAUCUCGGAAGCGAAGCAGUGUCGGGCCUGGUUAGUACUUGGAUGGGAGACCGCCUGGGAAUACCAGGUGCUGUAAGGA
This 119-nucleotide ribosomal RNA is filed under the name Salmo salar (Atlantic salmon). The record is from RNAcentral. Lineage: Eukaryota; Metazoa; Chordata; Actinopteri; Salmoniformes; Salmonidae.